AAGAGACAGCAGUAGCCACGGGAAUACGAAGGGGGCUAGCGUUGCUCGGAAUCACUGGGCGUAAAGGGUGCGUAGGCGGGUCUUUAAGUCAGGGGUGAAAUCCUGGAGCUCAACUCCAGAACUGCCUUUGAUACUGAAGAUCUUGAGUUCGGGAGAGGUGAGUGGAACUGCGAGUGUAGAGGUGAAAUUCGUAGAUAUUCGCAAGAACACCAGUGGCGAAGGCGGCUCACUGGCCCGAUACUGACGCUGAGGCACGAAAGCGUGGGGAGCAAACAGGAUUAGAUACCCGUGUAGUCCCUGUCUCUUAUAC
This 310-nucleotide ribosomal RNA is filed under the name uncultured bacterium. RNAcentral's name for it is "partial 16S ribosomal RNA". It matches the Rfam family "Bacterial small subunit ribosomal RNA", at positions 503 to 807 of the family's 1533-position model. The record is from RNAcentral.